GAUAGUGUGAUACAGCGGCUUGAGUAUUGGACUAUGACUCUGGAGACCAGGGUUCGAUUCCCAGCUCAGCCA
Phrynosoma platyrhinos (Desert horned lizard) is the source of this 72-nucleotide non-coding RNA. Lineage: Eukaryota; Metazoa; Chordata; Lepidosauria; Squamata; Phrynosomatidae. The record is from the annotation of a GenBank genome assembly.